Orbicella faveolata is the source of this 700-nucleotide long non-coding RNA. Lineage: Eukaryota; Metazoa; Cnidaria; Anthozoa; Scleractinia; Merulinidae. The record is from RefSeq and is a predicted model, not a curated record.
UGACCAAAACGGCUGAAAAACGAUCAUAUCCCUAUUAUCUGACGGGCCCGUUUCUCUGGAGUACCCAGUGUCUAAACACAACACUAUUUUGCGCCAAUGCCCUAGCCUGAUACGACCCGUGAAAGCCUUACAAAUAGCGGGGAGCAUAGUUGCGGUUGGAAUGGAUUAGUCUGUUUCGUAAAAUGGGAAUCACUGGCGAUGUUGAAACCCAUGUAUUCCUUUUUCUUUUAGUGGGAAAGAUUUUUCGCUACACCACCAAAGGCGUUACAGGGUUUGGCGAAUUUUCAAGAGUAAUUUCAUCCUUUCUGGUCUAACGGAAAGGAACUACCGAGUUCUUCACCGUUGAGCCACAAAUAGCUAAAAGGAAUCUAUCGCAAUGGGUCGACGCACUUGCAAAGUUGGCCAAAAAAGUCUGGCGUUUCUCCACCGGUCUAAGACCUUUACCAGGGGAAAGUUUCUUAUCUGCGACCUACAAGAGUAAACGACACUUUUACAUGUUGGAUCCACGCUUCUUAGGGACAGACGAUGCGCUCAAAGACCUCCGAGUGGCGUCCUUGAACACGGGGUAAGUUCACGGCAUUUAUCGUUGCAUGAGGGUUAAAUAAUUUGGAAAUUCACAUAACUUCAUUCAAAAUUAUGUCUUCACAGGUUGUUUGGUGUUGGAAACCUGGACGGAGACGUAUUCAAAACUUUUCAGGUU